CAAGGGCCUUAACACGCCACAUAAACGACGUAUGCUCCUCAAUGACAUCAAACGAACCAAAGCAGACAUAGUCUGCCUACAAGAAACGCACUUUGUCUCCACCAAAAUCCCAACCUUCGCCCUUAGGGACUAUCCCACACAAUUUCACGCUACCCACACCUCCAAAUCCAGAGGGGUAUCCAUACUGCUACACAAUUCACUAACUGUAGAAACUCUCCGGGUCAAAAAAGACAACCAAGGACGGUACAUAAUCCUACACUGCAGAAUCAAUGAGCACCCAUAUGUCCUAGUAUGCCUCUACAGCCCAAACGACCAACAACGCAACUUCUUACAUAAAAUUCUCACCAAGCUACCCGAAGAUGUGAACGACCCCAAGAUCAUCUGUGGGAAUUUUAACCACACCAUGGACACGAAGAUGGACUCUACCACCCCACACACGUCAACAAGGCACCACACUCUCAAGCCCCACACUAAGGCAUUUGUAAAGCUCAUCCACGAAAACAGCCUAUACGACGUAUGGAGAACAAAACACCCCUCCGAAAGAGAAUACACGUUCUUCUCACAAGUACAUAAAACACACUCCAGAAUAGAUCACAUCCUCACUUCAGGCACGCUACUUCCACACAUAGAAAACUGCUCCAUCGGCAACAUAGUGUGGUCCGACCAUGCCCCUAUUACAAUGACUUUACACUCCACCUACCAGCACCGGGGUAAGCCACCAUGGCGCCUCAAUGACUCACUGCUGCAUGAUCAGAAAUUUGCAGCACUGCUGACAGCAAACCUAACAGAUUAUUUUAUGACUAACGAUAACCCCGAUGCCUCCAUAUUCUCGAUAUGGCAGGCCCACAAAACGGUGAUGAGAGGCAUAUUGAUCAGCCG
This is a non-coding RNA of Pelobates cultripes (western spadefoot toad), 879 nucleotides long. The record is from the annotation of a GenBank genome assembly. Lineage: Eukaryota; Metazoa; Chordata; Amphibia; Anura; Pelobatidae.